CGGCUCACCUCCGGCAGCUCACGGGACUCCCCCCCUCCCGGGACUCCCCCCUCACCUGCCCACCUCCUCCCGGAACCGAGUCCUGGCCCGGCUGCCCCACUCCCAGCGAGGGCAGGCUGGCCUCACCGGUGACCGUGCCCAGCCCUACCGACGCCGACGGCGGCCGAGAGCUCCAGGUCCACUUUGCAACUUGGGAACGCAAACAGACUCGUCUUUCAGCCUGGCUGGGAACGCAAGAGCGAUUCUAGAUGGAAAUGGGACGAAAGUAGAGAAAACUUAAAUCUCGGACACUAUCCAUCAGUUCUGAGGCAAAAAUAAACACUCACGACUCACACCUCAGAAAGAGAGAGAAAAAAGGGAGAGAGACACCGGCUGUACCCCUUCUAGGAAGAAUAAACAUGACAGUUAUAACCGGAUUAGAGACGGAAAAGUAAGGAAAGGACUGAUUAGCAGACAAUAGCCUCACCGCAAAUUUAAAACCAACGCUGCACGCCUAGGGUGGA
Long non-coding RNA from Canis lupus familiaris (dog), 503 nucleotides. RefSeq lists it as uncharacterized. Lineage: Eukaryota; Metazoa; Chordata; Mammalia; Carnivora; Canidae. The transcript is spliced from 2 exons. The record is from RefSeq and is a predicted model, not a curated record.